RNAcentral lists this long non-coding RNA (1189 nucleotides) under Panax ginseng (ginseng). RNAcentral describes it as "long non-coding RNA (PGIN_LNC010994)". Lineage: Eukaryota; Viridiplantae; Streptophyta; Magnoliopsida; Apiales; Araliaceae. The record is from RNAcentral.
UCUUUGUGGAAUAAAAUUAAAGAAUGCUUAGAAGAAUAUUUCUAUGAAAAGAUACUGGAUGAAGCACAAAUACCCAGGAUAUUUCACUAAUUUCAUGGAGUAUAGAAGCCAAAACUUUAACCGACUGAGUAUAAUAGAAUAUAUGAAACUACAAAUAGAUUUUCGCCCGCCAUGCGGUAAUCCACGUAGACAGAUCAUUUCCACAAUUUAAUAAGGAAUGAAUACGAAGGAUCAUUCACCAUGCAUGUGGUAGUCCACAUAGACAGGUUAUUCCAACAGAAUAAUAAAGAAUGGAAUAACAGAAGAAUUCACCAUGCAUGCGGUAGCUCACGUAGACAGGUUAUUCCAACAAAAUAAUAAAGAAUGGAAUAACAAAAGAAUUCACCAUGCAUGCGGUAGCCCGCGUAGACAUGUUAUUCCAACAGAAUAAUAAAGAAUGGAAUAACAAAAAAUUCACCAGGCAUGCGAUAGACCACACAGACAUGUUAUUCCAACAGAAUAAUAAAGAAUAUAAUAACAGAAGAAUUCACCAUGCAUGCGGUAGCCCGCGUAGACAGGUUAUUCCAAUAGAAUAAUAAAGAAUGGAAUAACAAAAGAAUUCACCAGGCAUGUGAUAAACUGCACAGACAGGUUAUUCCAACAGAAUAAUAAAGAAUAUAAUAACAGAAGAAUUCACCAGGCAUGCGGUAGCCCGCGUAGACAGGUUAUUCCAAUAGAAUAAUAAAGAAUGGAAUAACAACCCUUACAAGUAUUGAAAGAAAAUAACUCUCUUCAUGAAUACGAAAGAAAUAAUACCCCUUACCUUAGAAGAAACUGGAUACUGGAAUAGUAAGGUAGCAGACUUCUCUUCUUCUUUCUCUCUAUGAUUUCUCUAUAUAAUAAUUGCUCUUGUGAGACUUAGUGAAUUGAUGAGAAAUGAAGGAGGAAUGAACUUCUAUUUAUAGGAAAAUAUAUUUUUGAUAAUUGCAUGUUUUGGGAAUCGAAAUAUUAUAGUAUAAUACCUUUCUCUUUUUCUUCAUUUUUAAUUUAGUCCUGCAAGUAUUAUCAAACUUGCACCACCUCCCCUAAUAGUAAAUCAUGUGAAUCAAUAGUACACACAUGUGAACACAUAGUUAUAAGCAUGUAAAUUAAUAGCAAUUAAUUGCUCAUUUAUCCGGUUAAUUAUCCGAUUGGUCAAUAUAACCUCCAG